RNAcentral lists this ribosomal RNA (492 nucleotides) under uncultured bacterium. Its description in RNAcentral is "partial 16S ribosomal RNA". It matches the Rfam family "Bacterial small subunit ribosomal RNA", at positions 29 to 507 of the family's 1533-position model. The record is from RNAcentral.
AGUGAACGCUGGCGGUAGGCCUAACACAUGCAAGUCGAACGGCAGCACAGUAAGAGCUUGCUCUUACGGGUGGCGAGUGGAGGACGGGUGAGGAAUACAUCGGAAUCUACUUUUUCGUGGGGGGUAACGUAGGGCAACUAACGCUAAUACAUCAUACGACCUACGGGUGAAAGCAGGGGAUCUUCGGACCUUGCGCGGAUGAGUGAGCCGAUGUCGGAUUAGCUGGUUGGCGGGGUAAAGGCCCAUCAAGGCGACGAUCCGUUGCUGGUGUGAGAGGGUGAAGCCGGCCACUGGGACUGAGAGGCGGUCCUGGGUCCGACGUGCGGCCCAGGUUGGUAAUAGUGGACGAAGUGCGGAAGCCUGAUCCAGCGGUACCGGGUGGGUGAAGAAGGGCCUCGGGUUGUAAAGCCCUUUUGUUGGUAAAGAAAAGCAUCAGGUUGAUACCCCGCUGUUCUGACGGUACCUAAAGAAUAAGCACCGGCUAACUUCGUG